CUACGGGGCUCUCCAGUGGGGAAUAUUGCACAAUGGAGGAAACUCUGAUGCAGCAACGCCGCGUGGAGGAUGACACUUUUCGGAGCGUAAACUCCUUUUAUAUAGGAAGAAGAUGACGGUACUAUAUGAAUAAGCGCCGGCUAACUCCGUGCCAGCAGCCGCGGUAAUACGGAGGGCGCAAGCGUUACUCGGAAUCACUGGGCGUAAAGAGCGUGUAGGCGGAUUAAAAAGUCAGAAGUGAAAUCCUAUAGCUUAACUAUAGAACUGCUUCUGAAACUCUUAAUCUAGAAUAUGGGAGAGGUAGAUGGAAUUUCUGGUGUAGGGGUAAAAUCCGUAGAGAUCAGAAGGAAUACCGAUUGCGAAGGCGAUCUCCUGGAACAUUACUGACGCUAAGGCGUGAAAGCGUGGGGAGCAAACAGGAUUAGAUACCCUCGUAGUC
RNAcentral lists this ribosomal RNA (439 nucleotides) under uncultured bacterium. RNAcentral describes it as "partial 16S ribosomal RNA". It matches the Rfam family "Bacterial small subunit ribosomal RNA", at positions 339 to 795 of the family's 1533-position model. The record is from RNAcentral.